UGCAAUGUUUUUUCAACAGUAAUAACUGUUGGAUUUUUAUAUAAACACUUGAAUGAGGAAAACUUUUGAGCGAACGAUUUAUUGAGACAAACGAUGAUAAAUUAUGUUAAGGUUAAACUUUAUUAUUUAAACUAUGGUUUGUAUCUUUUUACCUGUAAGACGAUCCUGAAAAGGAAGUUAUUUUCAGGUGAAUACAAUGAACGCUGAAUGUUAAGAUAUUAUAUUUUUGUGCCGGUAUUGAAAACCACAGUAUUUGAGUUAUAAAAAUAGGUAUAUACAUUUAAAAUUUAGAUUUUAAAAUAGUUGUUAUAUAAACAGUUAAAAUGGCAUCAAAGCAAGUAAUGUGUGAAAUGUGUUGUAAGGAAGAGGCAGUUGGAUGCUGCAAUACAUGUGGAAACAUUGGUGAAUCGUGUUCCGGAAUUCACAAGACGGGAAGGGCAUUCCAAACCCACAUUCUGAAGACGUUUGGAAAGGAUCGGUACAAUCCAAGGCGUAUUAUGUAUGAUAUCAUAGAGGAGACAUGUAAACACCAUCCGACUGAAAGAACGUUAUUGUUUUGUAAAACUCAUGAAAUUGUGAUCUGCGGUCGAUGUUUCCCUUCGGAUCAUAUCCCAUGUGGUUAUGAGAUUGUUGAUUUGAGUGAAGAGGCAGGUCAUAUUGAUAACGACCAAACUAAUGUUAUGUCUACAACUUUAAGCGAUAUCAAGAAUGACAGUAAGCGCAUGAAGGAAGAAGCUGAUAGAAAAAAAAAGAUAUACCCAUGCGGUUAAAUGCAACAGAGAACUGGAUGAUUUGAAAAAGAAACUUAAACAGAAAGUUGAAUAUUCAAUAAGAAAUUUCAGACAGGAAGUGCGUAAAUUUAAUAAUAAAAACAUAGACGCCUUUUUAUACAUUUCUUCCGUUUGUGAAGAGAAAAUGGCAUGGGCUAUUGAACAUGAAAGUCAACUCGACGAGUUUUUUAACAACUCGUUUCCAGGUCGCCUUUUUCUUAUGAGCCGGAUGUUUGACAAAGAAAUUUCAGAGGUCAAAAGACAGAUGAAAGAAGCUGAAUACAAGCAUACUAUUAAACAGUUUUGCUUAAAGGAAAACUCAGUUACCUUAAAACACCUGACUGAAGAUUUGAGCGGUGUUUGUGAUGUUCAGGAGGAAGUAGAUGGAAGAGAUGAAGGAACCACUUACUCAAUGGGGAGUUCAACUCAAAAACCGCAAAAGUUUCAGGUGGAAGAUGAUGGAAGCAGCGAAGAAAUAACUUACCCGUUUUGGGGUUUAACGGAAAACCCCAAAAAAGAGGAAGAGGAUGAAAGCAGCGAAGAUUCAUCUUUCACGGUUGGGAGUCCACCUGAAAACCUAGGAGAAUUUCAGGAGGAAAAUCAUGGAAGCAGCGAAGAAAUAACUUGCCCGCUGAGGAGUUUAACUGAACACCCAAAGAGAGAAUGCUGCGUCAAAUUAACCCACAAUGAAUGUUCAUAUAUAUUACGUACAUAUAUUGAACUGUACAAUAAUGACAAGUAUUUAGUAACACAUGCAAUGUUAACACAAACAUACAUCAGCUUUUCACCGUUAACUAUUAUAUCCUAUAUGGAGUAAAUAUUUGUUUUUGUCAGUUUUAAAGGUUGUGUUUAUUAACUUACACCGUAUUGUUUGAAACCAAAAAAAGAAGUUUAUGUUAUUGUUCGUGAAGUAUAUGGAUCAUUUAAAUGGCAUCAUGUUUGAACUUAAUGACUCAUUAUACAUUCCAAACUUGCAAAAAAUAAUCAUUAAAACAUUGGUUUAAGCCAAACUGGACGUAUUUGAUGCAGAAACAAUCAGUAUAAUUGUAGACAAGCAAUCAGUUCGUGAAGUUGAUGCUACAUCAUGGUGAGUGGGCUUGAAUCCAUGGUUUUGGCAUUGCAUUUUAUUUAUAUACGUAUUAAUUGGUGUUUGAAAAGCCGCCAUUUGAUUAAAAACGUCAAGGGGCAUAAGUGUAAGAGUCAUUCCAUGAAGAGAUUAUAAAGGGUAUUGAAUCGUUUCAGGAGGAAGAUGAUGGAAGCAGCGAUAAAUUAGGUUACCCAUUGUGCAGUUCAACUGAGACACCGAAAAAAUCACGACAGCAGAUCUUGUGCGAGAGAUCCGAAUUCAUGAGAAAAAGAGCAACGGCCUACAAUUUCAAGUCAUUUAUUUCUGAUUAUUACGAUCAAUAUUGCGUAAAAAUCCCAAACUCAUAAGAAAAAGAACAUUUUAUAAUCUGUUGACUUGACAGCAAUGGUGUUUGCCAUAACGUAACCAUGAAUUCAUCAACAAUAGUCUUAUAGUCAGAUAUAAAGAACAUUUUAUUUUCAAUUUCACAUUUCCAGUGACUUAUGUAUACUAAUAUUAUUUCCAUGUUUGCUAUCGUCGAGACAUUCCUACAAUAAAGUACAAUAGUUAAAAUGCAAUAUGGGUUUCAUAUUCAUAAACUCAAUAAAUAAACAAAUUAAUUCAGAAACCUAGCCUAGAACUGCCUUAUCAAUCUUCUAUUUAGCAGCGUUCUCGUCAUUGUUGGCGUUUCGUCUUUGCAAUUGAAAUCAUAUAAAACACAUAACAUGACCCUUAUCCGUAUAUAUUAUUAUCCACCAUUCGUUCAAUCUGCCCAAACUAAAUUAUUGCACAAAUUGGAAUAACUGGCUUUUCUUUAGUCAUAUUAUAUUUUCAGGGAAUCAUAAGAUAGUUAUUCAGAUGUGCUAAAUAAAAUGAAACCAAACUGUUAUGAACAAAUAAUAUAUUUCAAAGUAUAUUGUUAUAUGUCAAACCUUAUCCGUCUUUUUGUAGGCCCUUGACUAGUAGUUUAGAUGCCACAGGGCUUGACGUUACGACUGGACGCGACAUCCCGGCAAGGCCAUGGGGUCCCGACUGUUUAUGGAUGAACAAUCGACAAUAUGGGCGCGACAAAGGCGAUCGUCGAUACGCUGGGAAUGGAGGCGGUCGACGCCAUGGCGACAGCGACCCUACUGAAGGUUUCGGAGACGGAGAUUAUACUAUAAGUUUUUAGUUGAACAAUUUUAAUUUUCAGACGGAUUAGUUUCGUGAACUAAAAUUAGCAAACACGUAUUAUUGUGAGAAUGCGGUUUCAUCAUCACUGACACUCGCGAACUAUAUUCUAUAUUCUGCUAGCUUAUGCAGAAGUAUUAUGUCAACGGUCCGGUUGUAACUGCAACACAUUAUCGACAAACAUAUACAAUAUUUUAGUAUUAUUUAUUAAAACAUCAUAAUUAAAAAAGUCAGGUUGUGUGAAAACAAUAGUUAUGCAUUGUAUGUACUUCAAUAUUCUAAUCAACUUUUACUUUUUGGUUUGUCUCAUCACUAACGUCAUGCAACCAUAAAGGAACCAGUUUGCAUUACUUGUUAUAUUAUAUAUAUAUUAUUGCGGAUUGAAUCUAGAAUUUCGAUUUCGACUAGCUUUAUUUAUUUUUGCAACAUUGCAUAAUAUUCAUAUACAUAUUCUUCCUAUAGUUGUACUUACUAAAUCGCUUUUAAUGUAAUAUCUACAGAGUUUCUUCGUUACUUCAAAAAGAUGCAAAUCGACAUCUAGAAUUUCGUUUUUGUUUAGAUUUCUCAAUAUCUCCGCAUCAUAAAUCGUUUGUUCUUUAUGAAAUGUUGAUCUUUUUAUUUGAUUUUAGUCUCAUCUAUGCAUUGUACACUCAUGAA
RNA transcript from Mya arenaria, 3663 nucleotides. RefSeq lists it as uncharacterized. The record is from RefSeq and is a predicted model, not a curated record. The transcript is spliced from 5 exons. Lineage: Eukaryota; Metazoa; Mollusca; Bivalvia; Myida; Myidae.